This 498-nucleotide ribosomal RNA is filed under the name uncultured Glomeromycotina. Its description in RNAcentral is "partial small subunit ribosomal RNA". It matches the Rfam family "Eukaryotic small subunit ribosomal RNA", at positions 591 to 1092 of the family's 1831-position model. Lineage: Eukaryota; Fungi; Glomeromycota. The record is from RNAcentral.
CCAAUAGCGUAUAUUAAAGUUGUUGCAGUUAAAAAGCUCGUAGUUGAAUUUCAGGCCUGGCUGGACGGUCCGCCCUUCGGGUGAGUACUGUCUGUGGUCGGGUCCUACCUUCUGGCGAAGCGUCAUGGCCUUAACCGGCCGUGGCGGGGAACCAGGACUUUUACUGUGAAAAAAUUAGAGUGUUCAAAGCAGGCAAAUCGCUUGGAUACAUUAGCAUGGAAUAAUGGAAUAGGACAAUGGUUCUAUUUGUUGGUUUCUAGGACCGUUGUAAUGAUUAAUAGGGAUAGUUGGGGGCAUUAGUAUUCAAUUGUCAGAGGUGAAAUUCUUGGAUUUAUUGAAGACUAACUACUGCGAAAGCAUUUGCCAAGGAUGUUUUCAUUAAUCAAGAACGAAAGUUAGGGGAUCGAAGACGAUCAGAUACCGUCGUAGUCUUAACCAUAAACUAUGCCGACUAGGAAUCGGGCGACGUUAUUUUCAUGACUCGCUCGGCGCCUUAUG